GAUGAACGCUGGCGGCGUGCCUAAUACAUGCAAGUCGAGCGAACAGACGAGGAGCUUGCUCCUCUUACGUUAGCGCCGGACGGAUGAGUAACCCGUGGAUAAACUACCUAUAAGCCUGGGAUAACUUCGGGAAACCGGAGCUAAUACCGGAUAAUAUAUUGAACAGAAUGGUUCAAUAGUAAAAGACGGUUUUGCAAUCACUUAUAGAUGGAUCCGCGCCGCCUUAGCUAGUUGGUAAUGUAACGGCUUACCAAGGCAACGAUGCUGAGCCGACCUAAGAGGGUGGUCCGCCACACUGUAACUGAGACACGGUCCCGACUCCUACGGGAGGCAGCAGUAGGGAAUCUUCCGCAAGGGGCGAAUGCCUGACGUUGCAACGCCGCGUGAGUGAUGAAGGUCUUCCGAUCGUAAAACUCUGUUAUUAGUGAUGAACAAAUGUUUAAGUAACUAUGCACGUCUUGACGGUACCUAAUCAGAAAGCCACGGCUAACUACGUG
This 497-nucleotide ribosomal RNA is filed under the name uncultured bacterium. Its description in RNAcentral is "partial 16S ribosomal RNA". It matches the Rfam family "Bacterial small subunit ribosomal RNA", at positions 28 to 507 of the family's 1533-position model. The record is from RNAcentral.